GACGAACGCUGGCGGCGUGCCUAACACAUGCAAGUCGAGCGGGGUUGAAGCGAGGGGUAACUCGAACUUCUACCUAGCGGCGGACGGGUGAGUAACGCGUGGGCAACCUGCCUCAAGGUCUGGGAUAACAGCUCGAAAGGGCUGCUAAUACCGGAUAUGCCUAUAGCCUCGCAUGGGGCUAUGAGCAAAGGGGAAACCCGCCUUGAGAUGGGCCCGCGUCCCAUCAGCUAGUUGGUGAGGUAACAGCUCACCAAGGCGACGACGGGUAGCCGGCCUGAGAGGGUGACCGGCCACACUGGGACUGAGACACGGCCCAGACUCCUACGGGGGGCAGCAGUGGGGGAUCUUGCACAAUGGGCGAAAGCCUGAUGUAGCGACGCCGCGUGAGCGAAGAAGGCCCUUGGGUUCGUAAAGACUCUGUCUGGAGGGACGAAGGAAGUGACGGUACCGUCCGGACGGAAGCCGAACGGCUAACGUACGUGCCAGCAGCGCGGUAAGAUACACGUGUACG
This 511-nucleotide ribosomal RNA is filed under the name uncultured bacterium. RNAcentral's name for it is "bacterial SSU rRNA". It matches the Rfam family "Bacterial small subunit ribosomal RNA", at positions 28 to 536 of the family's 1533-position model. The record is from RNAcentral.